Molecule: non-coding RNA, 739 nt
Organism: Pelobates cultripes (western spadefoot toad)
Lineage: Eukaryota; Metazoa; Chordata; Amphibia; Anura; Pelobatidae
Source: the annotation of a GenBank genome assembly
AAUAAAUCCCCGGGCACUGUAGUGGCAACAUAACCGGAUUAAUUGUACAAUAAGGAAACCGUAACGGUUUAUAUUUCAAUGAGUGACUUGUGUAUUGUUUGUGUGAAUUUUUUUAUUUUUUUUUGUAUUUCAGGUUUAAUGUAUCUUCGCCCCCCCAUCUCCACGUGGUUCGAUCCAGCCAUAAAAACUAGGGGAAUUCGAACCUCGUGUGGUGCAGAAAGUGCAGGGCCAGCCAGAGGCUGUAGGAGUCACGUGAUAACUCAUGAAAGCGCGGGAAGUGCAUGCUGCCAUGGGUUUAGGUCACGUGAACAUUUACCCAUAGCUCAUUAUGUUUCUUGAUUAAAAAAAUAAAUAAAAAAUAAAUUAGCACAAUCUUAGUUCACCUACAACAGCUGGAAUGCAGUGAGCUGUGAGACUGGCUGUUGGAUAGGAUGAGGGUUACAAGAGUGUCAUGUUAAAUUUACUUUUAUUUUACGCACAUCUAAUGUGUAGAGAAAAACUGCAACCCGACUUUGGCGUUAAUAGUAGGUAAUUGGAUUUGUGUGAAAUUUAAUUUUAAGUGCACCUCAUAUGCAGAUAUUCCAUGUGAUAUUUUUACUAACUUUUGGUGUAACACACUACAUGUGGUUAUAAAACUGCCAUGUAUCUUUUGCAGAUAAAUGUGUAGCCUCACAAACGAACGAACGAAACAACGAACGAUGGGGCGGAUGGUGAGGAGCCAGUCAACAGUGAAGCUUGU